AUACGGAGGGUGCAAGCGUUACUCGGAAUCACAGGGCGUAAAGCGCGCGCAGGCGGCUAUUUAAGUUGGAUGUGAAAGCCUACGGCUCAACCGUAGAACUGCAUCCAAAACUAUUUAGCUAGAGUGUGGGAGAGGAAGAUGGAAUUAGUUGUGUAGGGGUAAAAUCCGUAGAGAUAACUAGGAAUACCAAAAGCGAAGGCAAUCUUCUGGAACACUACUGACGCUGAGGCGCGAAAGCGUGAGGAGCAAACAGGAUUAGAAACCCUAGUAGUCC
RNAcentral lists this ribosomal RNA (274 nucleotides) under uncultured bacterium. RNAcentral describes it as "partial 16S ribosomal RNA". It matches the Rfam family "Bacterial small subunit ribosomal RNA", at positions 523 to 796 of the family's 1533-position model. The record is from RNAcentral.